Molecule: ribosomal RNA, 308 nt
Filed under: uncultured Cercomonas
Lineage: Eukaryota; Cercozoa; Cercomonadida; Cercomonadidae
Description: SSU rRNA
Rfam family: Eukaryotic small subunit ribosomal RNA (bases 97-308)
Source: RNAcentral
GACUUCUGGUUUAAUGCACCUGGCCCGCGGCCCACAAGGCCUGUGAGUGCCGGCGCGCGUUUACCAUCCUUCCAGCAACGGCUACCCUUAACUGGGCGGCUGGAACUGGAUCUUUUACUUUGAAAAAAUUAGAGUGUUUAAAGAAGGCGUUUGCUCUGAAUACAUUAGCAUGGAAUAAUAAUCUAGGACUUCGGUUCUAUUUUGUUGGUUUCUAUAACUGAAGUAAUGAUUGAUAGGGAUAGUUGGGGAUGCUACCGGUCGGAGGUGAAAUUCUUGGAUUCGGUCAAGACUAACUUUGCGAAAGCAUU